Molecule: ribosomal RNA, 564 nt
Filed under: Morchella americana
Lineage: Eukaryota; Fungi; Ascomycota; Pezizomycetes; Pezizales; Morchellaceae
Description: partial 28S ribosomal RNA
Rfam family: Eukaryotic large subunit ribosomal RNA
Source: RNAcentral
GGAGGAAAAGAAACCAACAGGGAUUGCCUCAGUAACGGCGAGUGAAGCGGCAAAAGCUCAAAUUUUAAAGCUGGCACCUCCGGUGUCCGCGUUGUAAUUUUGUGAGGCAUCUCCGGGUGGGGCGCCGGCCUAAGUUCCUUGGAACAGGACGUCAUAGAGGGUGAGAAUCCCGUGCUUGGCUGGCUGUCCCCGUCCAUGUGAGGUGUCUUCGACGAGUCGAGUUGUUUGGGAAUGCAGCUCAAAAUGGGUGGUAAAUUUCAUCUAAAGCUAAAUAUUGGUGGGAGACCGAUAGCGCACAAGUAGAGUGAUCGAAAGAUGAAAAGCACUUUGAAAAUAGAGUUAAAAAGUACGUGAAAUUGUUGAAAGGGAAGCGCUUGAGACCAGACUUCGGUGGGGAGUGAUCAGCCGUCCUUCUGGGCGGUGCACUUGCCCCCCUCCGGGCCAGCAUCGGUUGGGACGGCGGGAUAAAGGUCCCGGGAAUGUGGCUCCUCUCGGGGAGUGUUAUAGCCCGGGUGAAAGCCGCCAGCCCCGACCGAGGACCGCGCCUUCGGGCUAGGAUGCUUG